AACGAACGCUGGCGGCGUGGAUAAGACAUGCAAGUCGAACGUGACAAGGUGGUAGCAAUAUCACUUUGUUAAGUGGCGAACGGGUGCGUAACACGUGGGUAACAUGCCGGGAAGAGGAAAAUAGCCCAGGGAAACUUGGAUUAAUGUUCCAUAAUGUUGAAAAACUAAAGAUGGGGUAACCUGUCGCUUCCUGAUUGGCCCGCGGCCUAUCAGCUUGUUGGUGAGGUAAUGGCUCACCAAGGCUACGACGGGUAGCUGGUCUGAGAGGACGACCAGCCACACUGGAACUGAGACACGGUCCAGACACCUACGGGUGGCAGCAGUCGAGAAUCUUUCACAAUGGGGGAAACCCUGAUGGAGUGACGCCGCGUGGAGGAUAAGGUCUUCGGAUUGUAAACUCCUGUCAUGUGUGAACAAGUGUGCGCGGGCUAACUCCCGUGCACUUGAUAGUAUCACAAGAGGAAGAGACGGCUAACUCUGUGCCAGCCGCCGCGGUAAGAC
This 501-nucleotide ribosomal RNA is filed under the name uncultured bacterium. Its description in RNAcentral is "bacterial SSU rRNA". It matches the Rfam family "Bacterial small subunit ribosomal RNA", at positions 29 to 526 of the family's 1533-position model. The record is from RNAcentral.